UGGGGGAUAUUGCGCAAUGGGGGGAACCCUGACGCAGCAACGCCGCGUGAAGGAAGACGGUUUUCGGAUUGUAAACUUCUUUGACGAGGGACGAUAAUGACGGUACCUCGAAAACAAGCCACGGCUAACUACGUGCCAGCAGCCGCGGUAAUACGUAGGUGGCGAGCGUUGUCCGGAAUUACUGGGUGUAAAGGGCGAGUAGGCGGACUUGCAAGUCAGAAGUGAAAUCUAGGGGCUUAACCCCUAAACUGCUUUUGAAACUGUAAGCCUUGAGUGUCGGAGAGGAAAGCGGAAUUCCUAGUGUAGCGGUGAAAUGCGUAGAUAUUAGGAGGAACACCAGUGGCGAAGGCGGCUUUCUGGACGGUAACUGACGCUGAGGCGCGAAAGCGUGGGGAGCAAACAGGAUUAGAUACCCUGGUAGU
RNAcentral lists this ribosomal RNA (422 nucleotides) under uncultured Clostridium sp. RNAcentral's name for it is "bacterial SSU rRNA". It matches the Rfam family "Bacterial small subunit ribosomal RNA", at positions 355 to 794 of the family's 1533-position model. Lineage: Bacteria; Bacillati; Bacillota; Clostridia; Eubacteriales; Clostridiaceae. The record is from RNAcentral.